This is a non-coding RNA of Podarcis lilfordi (Lilford's wall lizard), 69 nucleotides long. The record is from the annotation of a GenBank genome assembly. Lineage: Eukaryota; Metazoa; Chordata; Lepidosauria; Squamata; Lacertidae.
GAAACAGUUCACUAGUAGAGCAUGUGCCUUGCAUGCAAAUGGUUCCAAGUUCAAUCCUUGGCAUCUCCA